RNAcentral lists this long non-coding RNA (402 nucleotides) under Gossypium barbadense (sea-island cotton). Its description in RNAcentral is "long non-coding RNA (GBAR_LNC009148)". The record is from RNAcentral. Lineage: Eukaryota; Viridiplantae; Streptophyta; Magnoliopsida; Malvales; Malvaceae.
CCAAACAUUUCCAUACCUCUUAAUGAACAUCAUACAAGACGAUUAUAAUAUUAAGCUCAAAGUGUAUAUAAGCCAUUUUCGCAUGGCUAUCCAAAUUUAUACAAAACCAAAGGGUCCAUGACCAACAACAAAAAGGGUAGUCCUAUACAUGCCAUUUCAAAGUUCAACCAAAAGUGUACCAAAAAGGGGCUUUGAUAGUGUGGGAGACUUCGACUUCAAUAAUCCCGAGUCCGAUAGCUGACGAACCCAAAAUCUAUAAAACAGAGAAUCAAAGAAACGGAGUAAGCAUUUAAUGCUUAGUAAGUUUGAGCCAUGAAAUUAGACACAACCAAAGUAUAGCAAUCAUAUGGCUAAACGGAUAAUCUCAUAUGCACAAAUUCUCAAUAUCAUACUUACUUCACA